GGUCAGUGCUCGUGACUUCGAUUCAGAGUUUCGUUCAGGCAAUAACGAGUAUUUAUGAGAUUGUGAUGAUUGUUGGAGGAUUUGAGCAGGCAAGAAGUCUUUUGGAAAUGAUCAUGGAAUUCCUUUGCAUUCUAAUUUUGUUACAUUUUUUUACGAAUCUAGUUUGGAAAUGUAACUCAAUUGAAAAAAUUUUGGAUCGACUAAUCAUGAGCGAAACGAGCGACUUUGAGAUGUUGCAAGACUUGUUU
Long non-coding RNA from Culicoides brevitarsis, 248 nucleotides. RefSeq lists it as uncharacterized. The transcript is spliced from 3 exons. The record is from RefSeq and is a predicted model, not a curated record. NCBI's taxonomy places the organism in Eukaryota, Metazoa, Arthropoda, Insecta, Diptera, Ceratopogonidae.